This 162-nucleotide ribosomal RNA is filed under the name Alchemilla vetteri. RNAcentral describes it as "5.8S ribosomal RNA". It matches the Rfam family "5.8S ribosomal RNA". Rfam says of the family: 5.8S ribosomal RNA (5.8S rRNA) is a component of the large subunit of the eukaryotic ribosome. It is transcribed by RNA polymerase I as part of the 45S precursor that also contains 18S and 28S rRNA. Functionally, it is thought that 5.8S rRNA may be involved in ribosome translocation. Lineage: Eukaryota; Viridiplantae; Streptophyta; Magnoliopsida; Rosales; Rosaceae. The record is from RNAcentral.
UAAACGACUCUCGGCAACGGAUAUCUCGGCUCUCGCAUCGAUGAAGAACGUAGCGAAAUGCGAUACUUGGUGUGAAUUGCAAAAUCCCGUGAACCAUCGAGUUUUUGAACGCAAGUUGCGCCCAAAGCCAUUAAGCCGAGGGCACGUCUGCCUGGGCGUCAC